UGAUAAACACCUCAUGGGCACGACCUUUGCAUCUCCUCCUCUUCCCUUAAUUCAGAUCCUCUUCCCCAAUGGAGACCCACCCUCUUCGCCAUAGACGGUGCUUUGCAUUUCCCUUACAACCCUUCGAAACUCAUUGGCUUGGGAAAGACCUGCAAUUUUGGAUUUCCCCUCUUGUUUGUGACAGGAAACGGAUAAGAAUUCUGCAUGUCAAGUGUUUGAAGAUAUUUCCGAGAGACAACCCAUCAACCCAUCAAACCAUCAACCCAGUGUUGUUGAAAAACUUAUCGUAUAUUAACCUCUUAUAAAAUGACUAUUCUGUUUGUAAUGGAGCAUAAAAGUUUUUAAGAAUUCAAAUGAGACAUUGUAAAGGGAAGGGAGUGUCACUACAAGAAAUUAGUCUUAUAGAGAAUAAGAAUAAGAAUGAUGAAUGAAUCGUCUCUCACUAGGCCAUAUGUAUGUAGUAUUGCUAUCAAACUCUUGAGAUUUUAAUGACAAUAACUUGCCUACUACUCAACUAAUGGCGGUAGUAGUAGGAAUGACGAUUUUUAAACUUCUAACAAUUGAUCUUAAACAUUAGGAAUGACAAUUUUUAAACUUUCCCCUCUUGCGAAUCACAAGAGUUAAUGUCCAUGCUAGUUUCACCUCCCUUUUCCAAUUUUGGUUAUUCAUAAAUUUCUCAUUUACGUAUUCUUGUUUUUUUUUGGGCUGCUUACAGGAUAAAGAUGUGUCUAGUGAUAUAUAGAACAUUAGAAUCGUAUAUGUUUCUGUUGUUAUUUUUCAAGCCUCUUAGUAUUGCUUUUGAGACAUUACAAGUACUUUUAUUGGGAAGUCUUUUCAUUUUCAUAAUGGAUAGAUCUAUCUAUAGAUCAUGUAACAUUUUUCCCGUAGAACAUAUAAUAAACACAGGCUGAAGGUUCUUUAGUCUGCAAAUUGUUUUUUGUAGGCUAUUUUGAUUCAUGGUUUUCAAUUGCUCAAUAUAUGGUUCCAUGAUUCGGCAGGGAACAACACAAAUUGCCAAAGGUCCAAACUCCUUGAUAUAUCAAUAGCAGGUUGUUUGCAAACUUUUUUUAUGUAGCCAUGUUAUUUUGUUGUUGUGUUACCAAGUGGUUGGGGGUUCUCAUGUUUUCUGGUCCCGUUAUUCACUUUUUCCUUAUUUGCUUAUAGCUCCCAAAUUUUUUUGUGAUGCAUUUAUUUUGUUGUUUUCUUUCUUCAUUCCUCUAACUUAGUAUUCCCUGUUCUUUAAAGAAGAUGUGUUUUGUGAAGCAUGGCACUGUAGUUUUCUUUAUAUUCUUUUCCCUUUUCGCCAUAUAAAAAUAAAAUUAUUUGAAUGAACAGGUAAAACAUGUUAAGCCAACUAUGUUACAAUUUUUUUCUUGUCCACUUAUAUCUCAUAAAAGAAAAAAAAUUUAGUGCUGCAUUUAUUUUGCUGUUUUCUUUCUUUCUUCCUCUAAGCCAGUAUUUUAUGAUCUUGAAAGAAGAUGUGUUUUGUGAAGCGUGGCAGUGUAUAGUUUUCUUAAUUUCUUUUCCUUUCUUUUCUUUUCUUUUCUUUUCUCUUUUUUUUUUUCCUUCCUAUAAACGUAAGGGGGUUUGUUGCUUGGUGCAAUAGUAAAAGCUCUACAAGACCUUUUUACCUAUGCCUAGCCUGCUCAGUUAGUGUCAAUGUCAAGAAAAUGCACCAAUCUCUAUCUUUUUUUCUUAAAGGUUUAUAUGUUUGUGAUUAUUUUAACUCGACAUGUUUUUAGUUGGUGGGUUGUCUUGGCAAUGUUUAUAUAUUUAUUAAUUCUUUCUAAGACCAUGGCUUUCCAUGAUUCUUGGCAAUCAUUCAUUUUCUAUUGUUAUUGUUGAUGCUGUUGCUAAAGACCAAGGGUACUUCUAAUUGUUGUUGUGGAUUGGAUUUGUCAUUAUUGUAACUUAACAAAUUUGAGUGCGGGUUCAUUCUAUGAAUGGAAAGGCAUUCUCAUAUGGAACUUGGGUUUUCUUCUGGACAUCAUGACGUUAUUGAUGGCACUCUGUCAUUAUGUGCAUAUCUGGUGGCUUCAUGGCAUGAAAUUUCAUCUUGUGGAUGUAGUUCUUUUCCUAAAUAUAUGUGUAAAGUUUCUCACUAUUUUUUUGCAGCAAUAUAUUGAGAUUCAUUUGACUUGGACUUUUCAACAUUAUUAUUUCAUGUUUAUUUUGUUUAACACUUCAUAUUAUUGACCAGGCCUUGUUAGGUGCAAUUGUAAAACGUAUCAAAUGAUUUAUUAGGUUGAAGAUAGCUUUAGGCAUCCUUCAUGGAGCACUUCCAGAUGCAACACUUGAGGAGAUUGAAGCAUAUGAUGAUGAAUGUGCUAUUUGUAGGGAACCAAUGGCAAAGGCGAAGAGACUGUCUUGUAAACAUCUUUUCCAUCUAACAUGUUUGAGAUCUUGGUAUGAUCUAUGUUGCGUGUUACAAUCUUGGACCCCCCCAUCAUGAGCAGAGAGGAAUUUGAAGCUCGGAAAGCUGAUCUAUGAAGGAAGCAUACAACGGAAUCUAUUGCUGCAAAGUAUCAAUGAUGAUGAAGGAAUUCCAGGCAGGAGCAGAUUGGGCAGGAAGGGUAAAUUUUUGGUUUUAAAUAAUUGUGUCCCUUUCUACCUUAGGGAGCUUUGGUGUUCGUAAUGCUCACAACAAGGAGUCCCAAAACCUACCAAUUCAGUGUUAAAUUGCCAAUAACCAUAUUUUUUGCUUUCACAUUUUGAACACAAUGGCAUGGCAUACAUUCAGAGAAACAUGUCCUCAAAGAUGUAUAUACGCCUGCAUUUUCUUCCCCUCCCUAAUCACACUAUUUAACCCACAAACACACCAUCUCUAACACCAUCCCCCACCAAUCCCUUAGGAUACAUGUUUGGAUUUGGAUUUGGAAUUGAGUAGGGCUUUGCAAAUCCCCCUCAAAUCCAUCAUCCAAACACAAUAUUAAAGAAAACCAACAAUAGAGCAGAGGAAAAACUAUUCCCAUUACACAAACAAACAACUAUAAGCCCUACCCAUUAGCUAUCAUUCUCUUCCGGUUAUGAAACUUCAUAGAUGGUGUUGUUGGAAACCUGUCUUCCACUUCAUUUAUAGAAAUAUGAAUUGUACUCAAAGCUGAAAUUAUGCACUAUACCUUGUAGUUUUUAUUAAUCAGUUCUAUGACGCUGAAUUAUGGGUGGCAUGAGUAUCCUAAAAAGUUAUCCUAAUAUCCUAUUGUUGUUUCUCUGAUAAGGAGUU
This is a non-coding RNA of Camellia sinensis, 3223 nucleotides long. NCBI's taxonomy places the organism in Eukaryota, Viridiplantae, Streptophyta, Magnoliopsida, Ericales, Theaceae. The record is from RefSeq and is a predicted model, not a curated record.